Molecule: long non-coding RNA, 1208 nt
Organism: Astyanax mexicanus (Mexican tetra)
Lineage: Eukaryota; Metazoa; Chordata; Actinopteri; Characiformes; Acestrorhamphidae
Exons: 4
Source: RefSeq, a predicted model, not a curated record
UUGUGAGUUACUGUAUGACAAGAGUAUAAAGAUUGUUUGGGAAGGAGUGGGUUUGAGGGGGUGGAUGUUAGCCAGAUGUGGGUGUGGUGCAAGGAGUGGAUGGGGGUGUGCCAACCAGGUGUGGGUGUGGUGGAAGGAGUGGACGGGGGUGUGUCAACCAGGUGUGGGAGUGGCAGAUUUCUAGUCAAAAGCUGGUGUUGGUCAACUGGUCAGGUUAGUCAGUUGCUUUUGGAGGGAAGGUGCACUGCGAAUUUCUCCUGCUGUUGCUGAAGGGAUUUUAUCAGAGACAACUUCCAGACUACUCUUCCAACACUCUUUAUCCAAGGGAUUUCUGCUGCUGCUGAAGUAAUAUCCCCAGUGACAACUUUAAUCUACAAAGAGUCUAAGUGCAAGAUGCCACGGAAAAAGUCAUUCAGAAUGAGGCGUGCGCCCAAGACUGUGAGUACUGUGGUUGAUGUGCAGUGCUGCUGCGAUUCUAAAUUAGUUGGUGGAUUGGUGUGUGGUACCAAGCAUUUCAGGUUGCUCGACAGAAACAAUGAAAGAACAGAGAUUUGUAGUGUUUUAGGUCUUAUUAGGCAUAAAGUGUCAAAUGUGUGUACUUGGAAGGGUGGUGUGAUGGAUUCAAUUUGUGAUGAAGGAAGGAUACUUUUGGAGGAGAGGAAACCUACAAAGGGUUUGGCUGGUAGAUAUAAUGCUUUCAACAGAGUGGCUGAUGUUUCUCUAGGUAAAGUAAUACAUGGUUCUUGUGAUUACUUGGAGUUUUCUAGUGCUUUACAAGAGACAUUGCUUGAUCAACAGUCCUGUUUGUUAAACUUAGAUGGAUAUCACUGUGCAGUUGUGUAUCACAAUGAAUAUUUCAUUGUUUUGGAUUUUAACGCUUGCAAUUCUUCUGGUUUGCCAUGUGACUUUGGCGUCUGUGUAGCACAAUUUCACACUAGUCUGAAUGAAACCAUGCUGUUUUUCACAACAUUGCUUGAGAAGCUAAAAGCAAAGGUGUUCUCUGUUGCUAGUGUAAUGGUGAGGUUGGCUGAUGAACAGGUUUCAUCAAUGCAUUGUCCAAGUACUGCUAACGGUAUGCAUGAAAGUCCUGUGAAAAUCUCUGAACAAAAAGUCUGUGUUCCAGAAGGUGUUGAACUGAAGGAGUGUUAUGUUAAUUUGAAAAGGAUGGCAAAUGAUAAAGCUGGAAAGUCUACUGUGCAAACCCCCAA